AAGGCGACGAUCCCUAGCUGGUCUGAGAGGAUGACCAGCCACACUGGAACUGAGACACGGUCCAGACUCCUACGGGAGGCAGCAGUGGGGAAUUUUGGACAAUGGGCGCAAGCCUGAUCCAGCCAUUCCGCGUGAGUGAAGAAGGCCUUCGGGUUGUAAAGCUCUUUCGCAAGGGAAGAAAACUUACCCUCUAACAUAGGGUGAGGUUGACGGUACCUUGAUAAGAAGCACCGGCUAACUACGUGCCAGCAGCCGCGGUAAUACGUAGGGUGCGAGCGUUAAUCGGAAUUACUGGGCGUAAAGCGUGCGCAGGCGGUUUGUUAAGUCAGAUGUGAAAGCCCCGGGCUCAACCUGGGAACUGCAUCUGAUACUGGCAAGC
This 379-nucleotide ribosomal RNA is filed under the name uncultured bacterium. RNAcentral describes it as "bacterial SSU rRNA". It matches the Rfam family "Bacterial small subunit ribosomal RNA", at positions 270 to 641 of the family's 1533-position model. The record is from RNAcentral.